AAUAAGUGUAGUUUUACAAUAUUCAUGUCUAACAUUUGACCGUCCGUCUUAUUUCAAAAAAAUUUAUGAUUAAUAUUUUUGUUGUUAUUAGAUGAUAAAACAUGAAUAGUAUUUUAUAUAUGAUAAUUCUUUUAUUUUUUUAUAAAUUUUUUAAAUAAGAUAGACGGUCAAAUGUUGGAUAUGGAAACCCAAGCGCUGCUGCACUGAUU
Non-coding RNA from Oryza punctata, 209 nucleotides. The record is from Rfam. NCBI's taxonomy places the organism in Eukaryota, Viridiplantae, Streptophyta, Magnoliopsida, Poales, Poaceae.